RNAcentral lists this ribosomal RNA (508 nucleotides) under uncultured bacterium. RNAcentral's name for it is "bacterial SSU rRNA". It matches the Rfam family "Bacterial small subunit ribosomal RNA", at positions 1 to 494 of the family's 1533-position model. The record is from RNAcentral.
AAUCCACUGUGGAAUUCGCCCUUAGAGUUUGAUCCUGGCUCAGGAUGAACGCUAGCGGGAGGCCUAACACAUGCAAGUCGAACGGGAUUGGGAGCUUGCUCCCAUGAGAGUGGCGCACGGGUGAGUAACGCGUAUGCAACCUACCUUUAACUGAGGGAUAGCCCAUAGAAAUGUGGAUUAAUACCUCAUAGUUCUUUUGGCCCGCAUGGGUUGAAAGAUAAAGCUCCGGCGGUUAAAGAUGGGCAUGCGUGACAUUAGCUAGUUGGUAAGGUAACGGCUUACCAAGGCUACGAUGUCUAGGGGUUCUGAGAGGAUGAUCCCCCACACUGGUACUGAGACACGGACCAGACUCCUACGGGAGGCAACAGUGAGGAAUAUUGGUCAAUGGGCGCAAGCCUGAACCAGCCAUCCCGCGUGCAGGAUGACGGCCCUAUGGGUUGUAAACUGCUUUUAUACACCAAGAAAAACACCUACGUGUAGGUGCCCGACGGUAGUGUAGAAUAGCUUC